UGGGGUGGCGCCAAGUGGUAAGGCACUGGGUUCUGGUCCCAGCAUGCGGGGGUUCGAAUCCCUCCACCCCAGCCA
RNAcentral lists this transfer RNA (75 nucleotides) under Candidatus Saccharimonadota bacterium. RNAcentral's name for it is "tRNA-Gln". It matches the Rfam family "tRNA". From Rfam's summary of the family: Transfer RNA (tRNA) molecules are approximately 80 nucleotides in length. The record is from RNAcentral. Lineage: Bacteria; Candidatus Saccharimonadota.